CGGCCGCCCGUCCAAUCAGAGGCGCCGCACCGUCGCGUCACUGUCCGGGGGACCGUCCGCGGGAAUUUGAAGUGGCUGCCUGGGCUGCCGGGAGAUGGAGGCUCGGGGUCGCGUGCACUUGGCGGCCGGGGAGGUGCCAGUGCCCGGGAGGAAGGUGACAGAUGUGGCCAUUUCAGCCUUGAAGGCAGUGGUGCAGCUUGCUGAGCCAUACCUCUGUGAAUCUUGAGCAAGCACUUUCACCUUGGAGUGUAUGAGAGAGCUCCUCGAGCUGAAGGAACAUCAGUUGCUCCUGCAGGAGCUGGGUGGUGUUUGAUGAUUCUGGAGUGUUUGACUAGACAGCACUUGCAACUGAGCAUGUCAGGUAUGAAGGAGGUAUCUGGUCAGAGAAGGUGUUUUCUGAGGCUGCUUCCCGGAUCCCUAGGGGAUGUGUUCCUGCCAUUCAGCCUUUUUGGCAGUUAUUUCCACUUGUACAAGCAGACUUUUGUCACUUACCUGAGAAAGAAAGCCCACACCUGGAUUAAUAUUAAUAGGUAUGAUUUAAAAUUUUUUUCAGAUAAAUCUUCUAUCAGAUAGUGCCUGAUACAGAUAGUUCUUUUGGAUUUUCUAUAUAUAAGUAUAUUCACUGUAGAGGGCUACUUUUAGCCAUGUAAAAAUGGACUUAUAUUCUUCUAGUAACUGGAAGACUGGCUAAUGCAAUGAUCAUAAUAGUUAAUAAUGUUGCUUGGUGUUUUGUAGUUUUGAAAGUACUUUCCUGUUUCUAUACCAUUAGUCAGCUAACCAGGUUUUGCUAAGCUUAGUUUACAUACUUGAUAAAGAAGCAGAGUGCCUCAGACGCUGCUUCUGACAUCUUAUGGACAAUCUCUAAUUGCAUGCAAGAACAUUUAACCCUGGUGUUCAGUUUUAAGCCAAGCAAUAUAAAUCUAAAGAACUGGUUUCUGUCCAGGACCAAAAUAACUCCCUUAUGUUUCUCUUGCUUUAAAAUAGUCUGUCAGUCGAAGCAUUUGAAGGUGAAGGGAUAACUGAUGAGUUUAGGAAAUUAGGAGAGAGGGUGCCAAUCUCUACGGGUAUAGAAGUUGGUAGAAAGACAAGUACCUGGAACUGGUAAGAGUUCCUGUUAAGGAAGAGGAGCCUGAAUUUUUUUUUUUUUUUUUGAGACGGAGUCUUUGCUGUGUCACCCAGGCUGAAGUUCAGUGGCGCGGUCUCAGCUCACUGCAAGCUUGCCUCCUGGGUUCACGCCAUUCUCCUGCCUCAGCCUCCCGAGUAGCUGGGACUACAGGCGCCCGCUACCAUGCCCGGCUAAUUUUUUGUAUUUUUAGUAGAGACGGGGUUUCACCGUGUUAGCCAGGAUGGUCUGGAUCUCCUGACCUUGUGAUCCGCCUGUCUCGGCCUCCCAAAGUGCUGGGAUUACAGGCGUGAGCCACCAGGCCUGGCCAAGAGGAGCCUGAUUACAUUUACUCUCCAUGUUGAGGACUCAGAUUCUGGUCAGUGACUAGAGAAGGUCAAAUUAUGAGGGUUUUCAUUUGCCCAUUGAUUCGGUAAGUGUGGAGUGCUGGGUUCUCAGUUGAGGGUGGGGUAUGACUGGUGCACAAAACCAACACCUUUGUCGGGGAGCUGCCAGUCUACAGGUGGGAGGUGAAGCUGUAUAGAAUAAUCACAUAAGGAUGCAGAUGCAAUUGGAAGGAGCCGUGAGCACCAUGAAGAAUUUCAGAGUGUCCUAAGACUGGGUCAGGUUGCCGUUCUGUGCUUAUUUCCGGAAGAAAUGACAUUCGAAUUUAGGUCUAAAAGGUGAAAGGAGUGGCAGGUGAAAGGGGUGGCGGAGAUGGGGGAACAGGUUCAGGAACUCAGUGGGUUUAAGGAGCUGCAAGGUCAAUGUGGCCAGAACAUAGUGCUGGGAGAGGCAUAGGAAGUCAGGGUAGAGAGGUUGGCAGGGCUCAGACAGUGCAGGGCUCUGUCAACCAGUGAAUCAUUUUGUAAGAGCAUGAAAAACCAUUGAGGGGUUUUUAUUUUGGGGUGAAUAUGACUUGCUUUGUGUUUUUAAAGGUUCAUUCUGGCUGCUGUGUGGAAAACAAAUGGAGGGAGAUGGAUAGGGAGGUGGGGAUACGGAAGGGUCUAGAGUGAGGAUAUGGAGAAAUCUAGAGUGGGGAUAUGGAGGGGUCCAGAGUGGGG
Molecule: long non-coding RNA, 2166 nt
Filed under: Macaca mulatta (Rhesus monkey)
Lineage: Eukaryota; Metazoa; Chordata; Mammalia; Primates; Cercopithecidae
Description: lncRNA (ENSMMUG00000059910.1)
Source: RNAcentral